Molecule: long non-coding RNA, 898 nt
Organism: Fukomys damarensis (Damara mole-rat)
Lineage: Eukaryota; Metazoa; Chordata; Mammalia; Rodentia; Bathyergidae
Exons: 3
Source: RefSeq, a predicted model, not a curated record
GUUAUUGCUGUCUCCCCUGCCUGUCUGUGUUCAAUCAGGCUGACAUCUAUUGGUUUAAAGAUCUUUACUCAUUUGCCAUCAGACAAAGAAACAACCUUGGUUUUACUUGCUCUUUACUUUACUUUACUCUUUGCUCUUACCAGUAGGCAUCUUAGGACUUCUUACCUCAACUUUAUGCAGAUACUUUCUCUCACUGUGUAAAGGCUUAUUUAAUAUUUUAUUUGCUCACAUGAUAGAUUUUUCUUUCUCAGACGAGGCAGUUUAGUUAGAACUUAAACUGGCUGUUUAAAGAUCUUAUGUGUGACGCAGACCUCACCUAAGCCACACAGGGUAGUGUAGGUGGUACAGUAAACACAAAGCCCAGAUCCCAGGUGUUAUGCCUGUAUUUAUUCAAUAAAGACUAGGUGGUUUGGGACUAUAAUAAGCAAUCCUUCAUUUUCACAAGGCUUUACGAAGUGUAAGGCUACCUAAACAUGUUUUAAGGUCUUGUUUUUAAAGUGUGAAACAAAAUUUACAACCAACUUUGGGAAGACUCUGAGUUGAGAAGAAAUCACCUUAAGAAGUCAACCAUAUCCACAUUCCAGUGUCACUGACUAAGAAUCCUUACAGCAGAAGUAUAUCCUGAGGGGGACAAAGAGCCUUGGCUUUACAAGUAAUCCAGUGUGAUGACCAGUGGAUCCUGUUGUGGGGCAGACAUCAACACGUGGAAUAUAUCCUUCAGUAUCCAUGGGACUCAAGCAUCCUGUUCAGAGGGUAAGGCCCUACGCCAAUGUAAUAAUAUUUUAAUUGUUGAUAUUUUAACUGUAGAGAAAAUGUCCAUGCUGAAACACUUCUAUGGUCAUAUAAUACAGAUGAACAGCAUAAUUCUCUCUCUUACAACUAUGAGUCAACUGUGGUA